RNAcentral lists this unclassified non-coding RNA (212 nucleotides) under Hevea brasiliensis (rubber tree). Lineage: Eukaryota; Viridiplantae; Streptophyta; Magnoliopsida; Malpighiales; Euphorbiaceae. The record is from RNAcentral.
GAUGGCAACAUCUCCAGAAAUGCUUUGCUGUUUCUGUCCAUCACCUCUGAGAGAAUUUCUUGAUAUAGUAAUAAACAUGAAAUUUGAUGAAGAACCUAAUUAUUCGAAGUUAAUCUCCUUAUUUGGGAGCUUGCUUGGACCUGAUCCUGCUAUAAGGCCAAUCAACACUGAUGGUGCCCAAAAGAUUCUUCAAGUUGGCCAAAAGCGGGGGA